UUUCAAUUUUCCAACCGUCUCUCUUCCUUCUCUCAUUGCAGCAUAGUUUCUCUCUCUCCUUUUGAUAUUUUGGAAGCUUAAGGUUGGCGGUUGAAGGCCAGUCAUCGGCGACGGGGAGUUCAUUGUAGAAGGCAAGGUUCGCGGUUGAAUAGCACGUGUUGGCGACGUCGUCGUUAAUGGUGGAGCGAGGAGGGUCGCGACUGGGCAAACGGGCUGGAGGUUCAGCGUCAGCGUCAGAACCAACAAUAAGGGCUAUGGUUGCACACAUGGUGGCGUCUUUGUCCCCAUCCCCUGGUGAUGAUGAUGAUUUUGUUGAAGGCCCUGUUCCUUAAUAUUGGUGUGUGUUCGAUUACGUUUGACUUUACUAUCUUUUUUCUUUAAUGGUUUAGAGUUUUGACAUUGUUAUAUUUAUGCUUUGUUUAUAAACUGUUGUUGCAUGAGUAUUUUAAACAAGUAGGUGACCUUUCAAGUCUGGUUUGUGCACGCAAAAAAGAAAAUAUCAAAGAACAAAGAAAGCGGAAAGUGAUUAAAGAAUGCACGCGAAAAAACAUACAAAGAAGAAGCUGAAGAACAGCGGGAAGGGAUAGCAAGUGACUUAUGAAAUGUAGUGCUAUAUCAAAAAUACAUGUUCUAUUUAAAUCUCAACUACAAUUUGAUUUAUGAAAUGACUUAUAUUCUUAUUUGCA
Ipomoea triloba (trilobed morning glory) is the source of this 686-nucleotide long non-coding RNA. RefSeq lists it as uncharacterized. The transcript is spliced from 2 exons. NCBI's taxonomy places the organism in Eukaryota, Viridiplantae, Streptophyta, Magnoliopsida, Solanales, Convolvulaceae. The record is from RefSeq and is a predicted model, not a curated record.